Molecule: ribosomal RNA, 525 nt
Filed under: uncultured bacterium
Lineage: Bacteria
Description: bacterial SSU rRNA
Rfam family: Bacterial small subunit ribosomal RNA
Source: RNAcentral
CCUACGGGAGGCAGCAGUGGGGAAUUUUGGACAAUGGGCGAAAGCCUGAUCCAGCCAUUCCGCGUGAGUGAAGAAGGCCUUCGGGUUGUAAAGCUCUUUCGCAAGGGAAGAAAACUUAGAUACUAAUAUUAUCUGAGGUUGACGGUACCUUGAUAAGAAGCACCGGCUAACUACGUGCCAGCAGCCGCGGUAAUACGUAGGGUGCGAGCGUUAAUCGGAAUUACUGGGCGUAAAGCGUGCGCAGGCGGUUUUGUAAGUCAGAUGUGAAAUCCCCGAGCUCAACUUGGGAACUGCGUUUGAAACUACAAGACUAGAAUAUGUCAGAGGGGGGUUAGAAUUCCACGUGUAGCAGUGAAAUGCGUAGAGAUGUGGAGGAAUACCAAUGGCGAAGGCAGCCCCCUGGGAUAAUAUUGACGCUCAUGCACGAAAGCGUGGGGAGCAAACAGGAUUAGACUACCCGUGGUACGUCCACGACCCUAAACGAUGUCUACUAGUUGUUGGUGUAAGUAAACUCAUAGAGUAACG